GCCUCUUUAGCUUAGUUGGCAGAGCACUCGCUUAGUAAGCGAGAGGUCACGGGUUCGAUCCCCGUAGGAGGCU
RNAcentral lists this transfer RNA (73 nucleotides) under Delftia acidovorans. It matches the Rfam family "tRNA". From Rfam's summary of the family: Transfer RNA (tRNA) molecules are approximately 80 nucleotides in length. Their secondary structure includes four short double-helical elements and three loops (D, anti-codon, and T loops). RNAcentral also lists the same sequence under 3 other names. The record is from RNAcentral. Lineage: Bacteria; Pseudomonadati; Pseudomonadota; Betaproteobacteria; Burkholderiales; Comamonadaceae.